This 74-nucleotide transfer RNA is filed under the name Candidatus Methanophagaceae archaeon SCGC AAA252-L18. RNAcentral's name for it is "tRNA-Arg". It matches the Rfam family "tRNA". Rfam says of the family: Transfer RNA (tRNA) molecules are approximately 80 nucleotides in length. Lineage: Archaea; Methanobacteriati; Methanobacteriota; Methanomicrobia; Candidatus Methanophagales; Candidatus Methanophagaceae. The record is from RNAcentral. RNAcentral also lists the same sequence under 5 other names.
GGAGUCGUAGGGUAGCUUGGAUAUCCUGUCAGGUUCCGGACCUGACGACCUGGGUUCAAAUCCCAGCGACUCCG